Molecule: long non-coding RNA, 1589 nt
Organism: Gasterosteus aculeatus aculeatus (three-spined stickleback)
Lineage: Eukaryota; Metazoa; Chordata; Actinopteri; Perciformes; Gasterosteidae
Source: Ensembl
GGCAGGAGAUCCGCCAUAUUGGAUUCUCCGUCUCAUCAACGGUUCUCCGACAAAUAGCUCAUACAAUCAUUUAAAGUAUUUCUCUUUAAUUUAAAGUUUCAAUUCUUCGUCUGCAACAGAUGUCUAAUAACAGCCGACAGAAAGACCAAACACCGAGUCACCUUCUUACUUUUAACAGAGAAUUGAUUCAGGAGGCCAACGCGAACCGCCAUUCCCGCCGGUGUAACAUAACGGAAUUGACCCGCUCUUCAUAAUAUAACCAAUAAUACGACACGUGGUGGGUGUGAAUUGGUUUUAUACGAUGCAGUUAACCGUUAAUUGAAUGAUCAUUUCAAUCGGCCUGCCGACCGCCGAGCCGUGGUGACCAUCUGGGGGCGCUCCAGCUCCAUUUCCCCGGCAGCCUGUAAGCUAGCUGCCGCUACUUCACCGCCGGCUCCGGGGAUUCCUGUGGCGGAGGUUCCUGGCGCGGCCGACAGAGAGAGAUGGAAGACCGCCACUGCGGGGGAAAAGCCCGAGGAACCUGAGCAGACGCGAGACCGGGAGGGAGGGAGACGGAGGGAGAAACGAAGACGCGCACAUUCGCACCGAGGCGGAGACCGCAAAGCCUGGGAUAGAAGCGGCCAUUACGGCGGGGAAGCACGCUGGAGCUCAGGCGGCUCGCCUCGGAUCCGCAGGACGCCGACACAGCCCGGGAUAGCGAGCCAGGGGAGCUCCGCUCAUUUUGGGGACGGAAACGGACACACUGCCCCCCCCCCUCUCCUCUAGGGACUCUCAGCUGGGGUGUGAGGGAUUUACUCCUUCACACACACACAGGAGGAGCACAGCGCAGCAGUCACCGGGUGGACGCCGAUAUUAAAGGAGGGACUGGUCCGAGAAGCCCCGCCGGGUGAUGCCGCUGUGUGUCCCGCACGCCGCGGCAAUGGAUAGAGCCUUUAUGUAACCUUCAUCCAAACACAUUCCCCCGUCGCCAGACUCCUGGCUUUUGUUGUCCUUUUGUAUUGUCUUAAGUCCCCCCCCCCCGCAAGGAUUAUCUAAGCUCGGAAGUGAGGUACGAGGCUCUUUCUGUGCGUCAAUGCAUCGGAUUCGUUAGUCCCUCGCAAGGUGGUGUUGUGUGGGACGCAGAGCGGAAGGAGCCGGAGUCACUGCGGUAGUCUGCAGGCCGACCCCCCCCUCCACUCCACUGCCUGCCCGGCUCGCACAUCCACCAUGGCCGGGUUCACACCGGGGCUACUGCCGACGAACCGGUCCCAGGAGAAGGAGUUCGCCCAGGCGUACGAGGACGUGUUGGAGCGAUAUAAAGGAAUGCUGAGAGAAUAUGAAAAUACUUUGGCUAAAAAGCCUUGAGGCGUGUGUCUGGAAGUUGAUCUUCUGGCCGAAGCUCGUCUGCCGCUUUCAUGACCUGGAUGGUUUCUCUGUUUGCAUAAACCGAACAGAACAGGGCUCCGAUCUGCAUCUCCCGCUGAUGUCUCCUCCACCCAACGCUUGUUUUGCCCUGUGUCCGCUGUUUGCCCUGUAAACAGGACGCUGACGUGUGUGUGUGUGUGUGUGUGUGUGUGUGUGUGUGUGUGUGUGUGAGAGAGAUAAUGGGG